CAACUUUCAACAACGGAUCUCUUGGCUCUCGCAUCGAUGAAGAACGCAGCGAAAUGCGAUAAGUAAUGUGAAUUGCAGAUUUUCAGUGAAUCAUCGAAUCUUUGAACGCACCUUGCGCUCCUUGGUAUUCCGAGGAGCAUGCCUGUUUGAGUGUCAU
RNAcentral lists this ribosomal RNA (157 nucleotides) under uncultured Piloderma. RNAcentral's name for it is "5.8S ribosomal RNA". It matches the Rfam family "5.8S ribosomal RNA". From Rfam's summary of the family: 5.8S ribosomal RNA (5.8S rRNA) is a component of the large subunit of the eukaryotic ribosome. It is transcribed by RNA polymerase I as part of the 45S precursor that also contains 18S and 28S rRNA. Lineage: Eukaryota; Fungi; Basidiomycota; Agaricomycetes; Atheliales; Atheliaceae. The record is from RNAcentral. RNAcentral also lists the same sequence under 3 other names.